AAACAAGUUAGACAACUAUCAAUUCUAUUCUAGCUCAAAUUGGUUAAUAUAACACCCAAAUCAGCUCUCUUCCCGCCGUCCUACGCGCCCAACGCUGAUCCUAGGCCAUUUUGAGCGCACCCCGCGCUACAGUUGCAGAAAAUCUGAUGGUCUGGCGCGCUCCGCACUAUGCAAUUUUCUACUGCGACGUCUUUUGGUAAAACAAGCAUAACUUUUGAUCCGGGAGGAGUUACGGGGCCUGCCAC
Molecule: long non-coding RNA, 245 nt
Filed under: Panax ginseng (ginseng)
Lineage: Eukaryota; Viridiplantae; Streptophyta; Magnoliopsida; Apiales; Araliaceae
Description: long non-coding RNA (PGIN_LNC017464)
Source: RNAcentral